AUGAGGAAAUCCGGCGGCGGCGGGGAGGACAAGGUCAUGGGCCCGCUCUUCCCCAGGCUCCACGUCAACGACACCACGCUCAAGGGCGGCGGCCCGCGCGCGCCGCCCCGCAACAAGAUGGCCCUCUACGAGCAGUUCAGCGUCCCCUCCCAGCGAUUCGCCGCCAACACCGCCCCCGCCGCCGCCCACCGCCCCGCCGCCAGCUACGCCGCCGUCUCCUCCGCCUCCGCCGGACAGAUUGGUGGGAUCGACAGACCUCUCUUUCCAUCAUUUUGUGUGCCUUCAAACGAACCUGUGCGUUUGCCCGAACACAUCAAGACCAACUCGAGUGGGCGGGACGGCCAUGCUACAUCUGGGAGGCUUUCCACCCAGCUUAAGAGCAAGGACGCCUAUGCUGCAGGAUCGACUGCUGAGUGUAGUAGUUCACAGCGUAGAGACAAUAACAGCAACAACAACAACACGAAGAAUUCUUCUGGGAAGAAGUUGACUAACGAUGAUGAUUUUACGGUUCCUUCUGUCUUCUGCUCUGGAGUGCGCCCUCGUUCCAACCAUGAGGAAGUGAGGAUCCAAGAGAAUUCCACACCCUUCCCAGCUACAAGUCCGUAUAAGAGUGGGCCUACAGUGUCCAAACCAACUGCAAAAUUUCCCAACACCGACAAGAGGUACCUGGAAGGAAGGAACGCGUCGGACACGAGAGCAAUGGACUCUCCAAGUAUUAUCAGGGACAAAGCACCAGCAAACACAACGACAAACUUUUUGGAAGCUGAAGAGAGGACUUCAUCAUUUCAAUUUUCUGCAGAGAAGACAAUGGGUAAAAGAGACGACAAAGGCUCUUCGUAUAGUAGGGUAAAAGAGACGAGCAGUAUAAAUGUUUCUGAUAAGCAACAUUCCCGAAACGAGGGGCAUCAGGCUAGAACAAGGAAUGAGAAUGCUGCUGAGUCUCAGAAUGCUCCAAAGGCUGGAAAUGGGCCAUACUCUACUGACGUCGCAUGCAACGGCGCUUCUAAUCUGUCGGAGAAAGGCCUAAGAGAGACUGGUGAAAAGAGAAAAAGAUCAACCGGACAUCACGAUGCGCAGAGGGAUGAUUCCUCGGAUUCCUCUGUGGAAUCUCUGCCAGAUCUGGAGAUCUCUCCAGAUGAUGUUGUCGGUGCUAUUGGUCCAAAGCAUUUCUGGAAAGCAAGAAGAGCUAUCGUCAAUCAGCAGCGGGUUUUUGCUGUCCAAGUGUUCGAGCUGCAUCGACUGAUCAAACAGGUGCAGAAGUUGAUUGCAGCAUCUCCACACCUACUUAUUGAAGGGGAUCCGUGCCUUGGCAGUGCCCUGGUGACAAGCAAGAAGAAGACGGCUGCAGCCAAUGUGGAAAAGCAGCUUCUAUCAGCUAAAAGCAAAGACGACGAUGAUGCACAGCUUACCCUGCAGCAGGCGGAGUACUCGAAAGAUAACACUGAAGGAAACCAGGCUUCACGAUCUCAAGACAAUGAUGUAGUCGAGGUCCGGCAUGAGAACCAAGCUGCAUCAAACGGUGCGGUUAGCAGUAACCCUCCUGCUAUGCCUGCUCCUCCCGACAACAAGCAGAACAACUGGUGUGCUCCUCCGCCUCAGAAUCAGUGGCUCGUUCCCGUCAUGUCUCCAUCGGAAGGGUUCGUCUACAAACCAUACACAGGGCCAUGCCCCCCGGCAGGAAGCAUCUUGGCCCCGUUUUACGCAAGCUGUGCUCCUCUGAGCCUGCCAUCUACAGCUGGGGAAUUCAUGAAUUCUCCAUACGGCAUCCCUAUGCCUCACCAGCCGCACCACAUGGGCGUCGGCGGCCCACCAGCCAUGCCUCCGAUGUACUUCCCGCCUUUCAGCGUGCCAGUGAUGAACCCGGUGGUCUCAUCCUCUGCAGUGGAGCAGGUGAGCCGCGUGGCCGCAGCGCGACCCAACACUCACAUCGAGCACCACUCGAGGAGCUCGUGCGACAUGAGGAACGAGGCUGUGUCGGCCGGCGGCGUCUGGAGGUUCCACUCGUCCCGCGGCAGCGAGCUGCAAGGGAGCAGCGCCGCCAGCAGCCCUUGUGACAGGCAGCAGGGCCAGGGCGAGGCGAGGGGCCCUGCCGCGGCCGCACCUGCGGCACCCCUCCCUACGUCGUCAGCCGGGAACGGGAACGCGGCCCAGCAGCCCCAGGUCUCCUCGGGCAGCCAGGAGAACCCGGUGGCGGCAGCGGCCCGUGUGAUCCGGGUGGUCCCGCACACGGCGCGCACCGCGUCGGAGUCGGCAGCGCGCAUCUUCCGGUCGAUCCAGAUGGAGAGGCAGCAGAACGGCCCGUGA
RNAcentral lists this ribosomal RNA (2304 nucleotides) under Triticum aestivum (bread wheat). Its description in RNAcentral is "partial small subunit ribosomal RNA". Lineage: Eukaryota; Viridiplantae; Streptophyta; Magnoliopsida; Poales; Poaceae. The record is from RNAcentral.